AGGCUGCAUGUGAUGACUGCAUAGUUCAUCAGAUAACCCGUGGUGAACAUGCUGCUAUAGUCUUUUGCUCCUAUCUGAUGUAGCCC
Pogoniulus pusillus (Red-fronted tinkerbird) is the source of this 86-nucleotide small nucleolar RNA. RefSeq annotates it as small nucleolar RNA snR60/Z15/Z230/Z193/J17. The transcript has a single exon. Lineage: Eukaryota; Metazoa; Chordata; Aves; Piciformes; Lybiidae. The record is from RefSeq and is a predicted model, not a curated record.